ACGGGAGGCAGCAGUGGGGAAUAUUGCACAAUGGGGGAAACCCUGAUGCAGCGACGCCGCGUGAGUGAAGAAGUAUUUCGGUAUGUAAAGCUCUAUCAGCAGGGAAGAAAAUGACGGUACCUGACUAAGAAGCCCCGGCUAACUACGUGCCAGCAGCCGCGGUAAUACGUAGGGGGCAAGCGUUAUCCGGAUUUACUGGGUGUAAAGGGAGCGUAGACGGUCAUGCAAGUCUGAUGUGAAAGGUGGGGGCUCAACCCCCAAACUGCAUUGGAAACUGUAAGACUCGAGUGCCGGAGAGGUAAGCGGAAUUCCUAGUGUAGCGGUGAAAUGCGUAGAUAUUAGGAGGAACAUCAGUGGCGAAGGCGGCUUACUGGGCUUUAACUGACGCUGAGGCUCGAAAGCGUGGGGAGCAAACAGGAUUAGAUACCCUGGUA
This 434-nucleotide ribosomal RNA is filed under the name uncultured Clostridium sp. RNAcentral's name for it is "partial 16S ribosomal RNA". It matches the Rfam family "Bacterial small subunit ribosomal RNA", at positions 341 to 792 of the family's 1533-position model. The record is from RNAcentral. Lineage: Bacteria; Bacillati; Bacillota; Clostridia; Eubacteriales; Clostridiaceae.